RNAcentral lists this long non-coding RNA (2267 nucleotides) under Sus scrofa (pig). RNAcentral describes it as "lncRNA (ENSSSCG00030017374.1)". Lineage: Eukaryota; Metazoa; Chordata; Mammalia; Artiodactyla; Suidae. The record is from RNAcentral.
GAGUUCCCAUUGUGGUGCAGUGGAAACAAAUCUGACUAGAAUCCAUGAGGAUGCAAGUUCGACUCCUGGCCUUGCUCAGUGAGUCCAGGAUUUGCAUUGCCAUGCGCCGUGGUGUAGGUCACAGACUUGGGGCUCGGAUAUGGCGUUGCUGUAGGCCAGCAGUUCCAGUUCCGAUUUGAACCCUAACCUGGGAACUUUCAUAUGCCUUGGGUGCAGCCCAAAAAAGCAAACAACAACAACAACAAAAAACAAAGACUAUUUCCCACUGGGGAAAAAUGGCUCUUUGGGGGAAAUGGCUGCUUCUAAGUCUGGGAUAGAAAACAAAAUGUACAAGAUCAGCCUGGAACAUCUUGUCACAUGAGCUAAGGAAGCUAUCAAAGAAUUAAUGUCAAAGUUAUUCAGAAACCAACUUGAAGCAGUUGCACUGGUUGAGUAUGAGAUUAUCUGAGCAUUAAAAAAAUGCAAUGAAUCUAAACACAUAAAAUAAACUUAGGUGUUCUCCUAUGGCACAGUGGGUUAAGGAUCCAGCAUUGUCACUGCAGCAGCUUUGGUUGCUGCUUUGGUGCAGGUUUGAUCCCUGGCCUUGCAAAUUCUGCAUGCCUUGAGUGCAGCCAAAAAUAAAUAAAUAAAAAUACAUUUAAAUUCAUGGGUCUAAUAGUAAUGCUCAAAAGAAAUGAUUCAGUGACUGUUGCAGAAUGUUUAUGAACAAAUGCACUUGGAAAGCUUGAAAAUAAAAUUUAAAAAUCAGGUGUGUAUGCUGCCUUACCAGGACCUCUUUUUGGUCCUAUGCCUCUAUGUAACCAAAUAGCACAUGGGUGGAAGUGUUCUUUAUGGAAGUAAUCCAGCUUUGGAAAUACAUGAAGAAAUGACAGAAUUGGCAUGUCACUGUUUUGUGACCCCUAAUGGAAUAACAGACCUGUCAUUGGUCAUCCACAGCUGAUUGUGAGGGACAACAGUGAUUAUAUGCCUUCUAGUUGAACAGCAUAAUAUGAUCCAUGAAGUAGUCUUGACAAAAAAACAAACCCAAAGGAAUUCCCAUUGUGGCUCAGCGGAAACGAAUCUGACUAGCAUCCAUGAGGACGCAGGUUUGAUCCCUGACCUUGCUUAGUGGGUUAAGGAUCCAGGGUUGCCAUGAGCUAUGGUAUAGAUCACAGAUGAAGCUUGGAUCUGGUGUUGCUGUGGCUGUGGUGUAGGCCAGCAGCUACAGCUCCACUUUGACCCCUAGCCUGGGAACCUCCAGGUGCUGUGAGUGCGGCAACUAUGACGACCAAACAAAAAACAAACCCAAAGUAGAUGAAACAUCUAGAUCCAGCUACAGGAAAUACAGAGGAUAGAGGAACAUGUUAAAGACACCCCGAGGAAUGUAAUGAGCAAAAUCUAGCCAGCACUGUUUCUGAUACAACUUUCUGCAGUAAUGGAAAUGGACUAUAUUUGCAGCAUCCAAUAGAGCAGCAAUCACUCGACACCAUUGUACAGACUUAUCUGUAAGCCAGGUUGGAGCUUUUUCUUUCUGCAAACCUGGUCCUAGUAAAUGCUCCACGAGGCCAUGGGUAUAGAUUGAUAGAGGGGCGGCAACACAGCAGAAAUGGUGUCAAAAGAAAAGUAGGUGUUGAAUAAGUCCUAGCCGUCUGCUUAGACCCCUUGUGUAUGCCUUUUCCACCUGCUCCAGUCUGCUCUCGUGUGUUCAUGUCUCACUGCAAUCUGAAGACGCAUUGCCAUUCCACAUGCCUGACCUCAUGGCUCAGCAGAUCAGAAAGCACCCAGCCUAUAGAGUUAUCACAUUUCUCAUAGCCAACCAUUGGGUCCUAUCUGGGCUUAGUAACAACCAGAAACUGUUUCUCAGAAGUAGAAUAGUUAGGACUUCCCUGGUGGUUCAGUGGGUUAAGGACCUGGUAUUGUCACUGUUGUGGGUCAGUUGCUGGCCCCAGGAACUUCCGUAUGCUGUGGGUGUGCCCCCACCCCCCAAAAGUAGAAUAGUUAAUAGCAGAAGAGAGCACAGCUUUGCUCCAAAACCGUAUCUGUCUCUGCUAUGAUUUUUCUAUUGGGGCUACUAGAGGCUUUGUCUGUUGCUUUUAUAUACCAAAAACCUUCAAAUGUUAUGCUGUGUCAGAAGGCCCAAGUGGCAGAGUGACUGAUACUACAGCCUGGAUUCAUGACAUGCUGUUUUACUACUCUGGGACCCCGCUUAAAACUGGCUUCUUUAAGGCGGGGUCCCAGAGGAGGUGUGGCCUUAAAAAGACAAAAAAAAAAAAAAAAAAAAAAAAAAA